ACCAGUGUGGCACAGUGUUUUGACUGUUGGACUGCAACUCUGGAGACCAGGGUUCGAUUCCCAGCUCGGUCA
Molecule: non-coding RNA, 72 nt
Organism: Phrynosoma platyrhinos (Desert horned lizard)
Lineage: Eukaryota; Metazoa; Chordata; Lepidosauria; Squamata; Phrynosomatidae
Source: the annotation of a GenBank genome assembly